AGCCUGAAUCUCAUGCAAGGCUAAAGAGCCUGGAAGCGACAGUAAGGCCAAUGAGCCUGAAUCCCAUGCAAGGCUAAAGAGCCUGGAAGCGACAGUAAGGCCAAUGAGCCUGAAUCCCAUGCAAGGCUAAAGAGCCUGGAAACGACAGUAAGGCCAAAGAGCCCGAAUCUUAUGAAAAACCUCAAGAAGGUACAAGGCCGGCGGAUCUCAAAG
This 213-nucleotide long non-coding RNA is filed under the name Manihot esculenta (cassava). RNAcentral describes it as "long non-coding RNA (MESC_LNC002035)". Lineage: Eukaryota; Viridiplantae; Streptophyta; Magnoliopsida; Malpighiales; Euphorbiaceae. The record is from RNAcentral.